RNAcentral lists this ribosomal RNA (292 nucleotides) under uncultured bacterium. RNAcentral describes it as "partial 16S ribosomal RNA". It matches the Rfam family "Bacterial small subunit ribosomal RNA", at positions 505 to 796 of the family's 1533-position model. The record is from RNAcentral.
GUGCCAGCCGCCGCGGUAAUACGUAGGCAGCAAGCGUUGUUCGGAAUUACUGGGCGUAAAGAGUGUGUAGGCGGUGCUCUAAGUCUGGUGUGAAAUCUCCCGGCUCAACUGGGAGGGUGCGCCGGAAACUGGAGUGCUCGAGUAUGGGAGAGGCAAGCGGAAUUCCUGGUGUAGCGGUGAAAUGCGUAGAUAUCAGGAGGAACACCUGUGGUGUAGACAGCUUGCUGGACCAUCACUGACGCUGAGACACGAAAGCGUGGGUAGCAAACAGGAUUAGAUACCCCCGUAGUCC